UGGCCUCCGCCCUCUUUUCCUCACUUAUUCGGAAGCUCGGGUGGGUACGGGAGCCCGGCGCUGUUUCUAGGUAGCUUUGGGAAACCCGAAGGCUAGCUACGAAUUGAUAGUGCAUUCAGUAUCAAUUCGUAGGAAGUGGAGCCCUAACCCUUAAGCAGUCCCAGAGCAAGUGUCAUCGGAUGGUGUGCAGCCAGCUCCCGGAGCUAAGAAAAUGUCACUGGUGGCUUCCCUGGUGGUGCAGUGGUUAAGAAUCUGUCUGCCAAUGCAGGGAACACGGGUUGGAGCCCUGGUCUGGGAAGACCCCACAUCCCGCGGAGCAGCUCAGUGCACCAAAACUACCCAGCCUGCGCUCUAGAGCCCACAAGGCACAACUACUGAUCCUGCGUGCCACAAGUACUGGAGCCCGCAUGCCUACAGCCCGUGCUCUGCAACAAGAGAAGCCACCGCAAUAAGCCCGCGCACCUCAAUGAAGAGUAGCCCCCGCUCCACGCAACUAGAUAAAGCCCACACGCAGCAACAGAGACCUAACACAGCCAAAAAUUAAAAAAAAAAAAAGAAAUAUCUCUGGAAUUUCUUCCUCUCUAGCCUAUAUAUGUGUAUAUAUAUAUAUAGUAUAUCUUUAGGGGUUACAAUGGAUUCUAAUCCAUUCAACAUUCUGCCACUUCUCUAAUCUUACUAAACUACCCUCUCAGGCACUUUCUAAAUUUCCCAAAUCCUUAGUAAACCUAUCUGACUCAUCCCUACCUAAUCAAUAUAGUCUCCCAAGACCUUAACUUCCUAUCAUUUAAAAAAAAACAAUGCCAAUAAUAAAAACUCAUAACAAUUCAAAUAUUAAAGUUGAAGUGAACCUUCUUUUUUCCUUUUCACCCCUCCAGUCUUACUUCUCUUGAGUCAUCAGUGUCACUAAUUUGUUGUAUAUCUUUCCCUACUUUUUCAAACAUGCAUAAACACAUAUCCACAGUUUAUUUCUUUGGUUGUUUUCAUUUGGUUUUUAGCAAAAAUAAAAUCAUGGUUUACAAUUU
Long non-coding RNA from Orcinus orca (killer whale), 1022 nucleotides. RefSeq lists it as uncharacterized. The transcript is spliced from 2 exons. The record is from RefSeq and is a predicted model, not a curated record. Lineage: Eukaryota; Metazoa; Chordata; Mammalia; Artiodactyla; Delphinidae.